AAAUUGAAGAGUUUGAUCAUGGCUCAGAUUGAACGCUGGCGGCAGGCCUAACACAUGCAAGUCGAGCGGAAACGAGUUAUCAGAACCUUCGGGGGACGAUAGCGGCGUCGAGCGGCGGACGGGUGAGUAAUGCCUAGGAAAUUGCCCUGAUGUGGGGGAUAACCAUUGGAAACGAUGGCUAAUACCGCAUGAUGCCUACGGGCCAAAGAGGGGGACCUUCGGGCCUCUCGCGUCAGGAUAUGCCUAGGUGGGAUUAGCUAGUUGGUGAGGUAAGGGCUCACCAAGGCGACGAUCCCUAGCUGGUCUGAGAGGAUGAUCAGCCACACUGGAACUGAGACACGGUCCAGACUCCUACGGGAGGCAGCAGUGGGGAAUAUUGCACAAUGGGCGCAAGCCUGAUGCAGCCAUGCCGCGUGUAUGAAGAAGGCCUUCGGGUUGUAAAGUACUUUCAGCAGUGAGGAAGGUGGUAGUGUUAAUAGCACUAUCAUUUGACGUUAGCUGCAGAAGAAGCACCGGCUAACUCCGUGCCAGCAGCCGCGGUAAUACGGAGGGUGCGAGCGUUAAUCGGAAUUACUGGGCGUAAAGCGCAUGCAGGUGGUUUGUUAAGUCAGAUGUGAAAGCCCGGGGCUCAACCUCGGAAUUGCAUUUGAAACUGGCAGACUAGAGUACUGUAGAGGGGGUAGAAUUUCAGGUGUAGCGGUGAAAUGCGUAGAGAUCUGAAGGAAUACCGGUGGCGAAGGCGGCCCCCUGGACAGAUACUGACACUCAGAUGCGAAAGCGUGGGGAGCAAACAGGAUUAGAUACCCUGGUAGUCCACGCCGUAAACGAUGUCUACUUGGAGGUUGUGGCCUUGAGCCGUGGCUUUCGGAGCUAACGCGUUAAGUAGACCGCCUGGGGAGUACGGUCGCAAGAUUAAAACUCAAAUGAAUUGACGGGGGCCCGCACAAGCGGUGGAGCAUGUGGUUUAAUUCGAUGCAACGCGAAGAACCUUACCUACUCUUGACAUCCAGAGAACUUUCCAGAGAUGGAUUGGUGCCUUCGGGAACUCUGAGACAGGUGCUGCAUGGCUGUCGUCAGCUCGUGUUGUGAAAUGUUGGGUUAAGUCCCGCAACGAGCGCAACCCUUAUCCUUGUUUGCCAGCGAGUAAUGUCGGGAACUCCAGGGAGACUGCCGGUGAUAAACCGGAGGAAGGUGGGGACGACGUCAAGUCAUCAUGGCCCUUACGAGUAGGGCUACACACGUGCUACAAUGGCGCAUACAGAGGGCGGCCAACUUGCGAAAGUGAGCGAAUCCCAAAAAGUGCGUCGUAGUCCGGAUUGGAGUCUGCAACUCGACUCCAUGAAGUCGGAAUCGCUAGUAAUCGUGGAUCAGAAUGCCACGGUGAAUACGUUCCCGGGCCUUGUACACACCGCCCGUCACACCAUGGGAGUGGGCUGCAAAAGAAGUAGGUAGUUUAACCUUCGGGGGGACGCUUACCACUUUGUGGUUCAUGACUGGGGUGAAGUCGUAACAAGGUAGCGCUAGGGGAACCUGGCGCUGGAUCACCUCCUUA
Molecule: ribosomal RNA, 1552 nt
Filed under: Vibrio parahaemolyticus
Lineage: Bacteria; Pseudomonadati; Pseudomonadota; Gammaproteobacteria; Vibrionales; Vibrionaceae
Description: bacterial SSU rRNA
Rfam family: Bacterial small subunit ribosomal RNA
Source: RNAcentral